UUUAUUACAAUAAUGAUCAGAGAGAGCUGGAGCGACAGAUCAGGAAAUAUCAUCUUCAUAUUCACGAUGAGAUCUCAGUGAAGAAAGGAGAGGAUCUGAAGUUGGAUGUUGUGUUGAUCAACGCUGAUAAAGUGGAGAGAAACUCUCGCUCCGGCUGGACAGAGGUGUGGAGGAGAGGUCACGGGGUCAGAGGUCACGGGGUCAGCAGUGAUCGACUGACCGUCAGUGACCAGACUCUGAUCAUUCAUGACUUUACAGUCACUGACACUGGAACAUACAGAGCUCUGGACUCUAAUAAUGAAGCCUUGAUCACAGUCACAGUCACAGAAUCUGUUCUAGACUCGAAGGGAAAUCUGAGCGACACUGAA
Rhinichthys klamathensis goyatoka is the source of this 368-nucleotide long non-coding RNA. RefSeq lists it as uncharacterized. Lineage: Eukaryota; Metazoa; Chordata; Actinopteri; Cypriniformes; Leuciscidae. The transcript has 3 exons. The record is from RefSeq and is a predicted model, not a curated record.